AUUGAACGCUGGCGGCAUGCUUUACACAUGCAAGUCGAACGGUAACAGGCCUUCGGGUGCUGACGAGUGGCGAACGGGUGAGUAAUGCAUCGGAACGUGCCCAGAGGUGGGGGAUAACGCAGCGAAAGCUGUGCUAAUACCGCAUGUGAUCUGAGGAUGAAAGCGGGGGACCAGGCAGCAAUGUUUGGCCUCGCGCCUUUGGAGCGGCCGAUGUCAGAUUAGGUAGUUGGUGGGGUAAAGGCCUACCAAGCCGACGAUCUGUAGCUGGUCUGAGAGGACGACCAGCCACACUGGGACUGAGACACGGCCCAGACUCCUACGGGAGUCAGCAGUGGGGAAUUUUGGACAAUGGGCGCAAGCCUGAUCCAGCAAUGCCGCGUGCGGGAAGAAGGCCUUCGGGUUGUAAACCGCUUUUGUACGGAACGAAAAGGCUCUGGCUAAUACCUGGGGCUGAUGACGGUACCGUAAGAAUAAGCACCGGCUAACUACGUG
This 492-nucleotide ribosomal RNA is filed under the name uncultured bacterium. RNAcentral describes it as "partial 16S ribosomal RNA". It matches the Rfam family "Bacterial small subunit ribosomal RNA", at positions 30 to 507 of the family's 1533-position model. The record is from RNAcentral.